UUUUUGAAUUGUUCGCUUUCACCGCUCAUGACGCUCUCCAAAACUUCGAUUGAUGAUGGGAUAAUCCAACAGCCUUUAGCGGUUGGGCAAUGAUCCGACAAUCGCCGGUUCUGCCGCGCCGGUAUGACCCACGCGAUGAUGUCAGCUAGUUCGCUUUCGCGCCCGACGCCUGGAUGACCGGCGACCAUUUCGCCACUUCGGCCUUGAGGUGGGCGGACAGCGCCUCCGGCGUCGCCUGCUCCGGCUUCACCG
RNAcentral lists this unclassified non-coding RNA (252 nucleotides) under Hevea brasiliensis (rubber tree). The record is from RNAcentral. Lineage: Eukaryota; Viridiplantae; Streptophyta; Magnoliopsida; Malpighiales; Euphorbiaceae.